GGUCCCUUAGACUAUCGGUUAUGUCGUCAGACUUUCAAUCUGGAGAGACGGGUUCGACUCCCGUAGGGACUA
Molecule: transfer RNA, 72 nt
Filed under: Bacteroidota bacterium
Lineage: Bacteria; Pseudomonadati; Bacteroidota
Description: Bacteroidetes bacterium tRNA-Glu
Rfam family: tRNA
About the family: Transfer RNA (tRNA) molecules are approximately 80 nucleotides in length. Their secondary structure includes four short double-helical elements and three loops (D, anti-codon, and T loops).
Source: RNAcentral